CAAUCAAAUGUCUGUGUCAACUGUUCAGGUUGCAGGACAGAGUGAUGAUGAGGUGCAAGAACUGGGGCAAGAUGAUGCACAAAAUGAGGGACAAGAAGAGCCCGUAGUUGUGGAUGCUGAUUCUACUGACAGUGCGGUACUCAUUAAUGAAACUGAGGCAGAAGAAGAGUGGGGUACGAAUACUGAAGGAAAACCGUCAGCCUAAAAGCAAUUGGUUGGGCCGGUGUGAAAAUCCUAGUUUUGUUGCUGUGCUUACACCACGCCACUAGGCUCAUUCAAGACAGUUCCAUCUGUUCAAUAGGUGUUUCCUUUAAAGGGGGCGAUCAACAGACUGGGCAUGUCUGUUCUGCAAGUGGUGUGAUUUUGUAGCCAUGAGUUUUGUAGGCAUACUGGACAUAUGUUUCCAGCUUCGUUGUUAGCUUUAGUCACUCAUAGUUGCUUUAUCAUAUUCUUUUGACGCGUACGUUUUUCACCCUUCAAUAUCUUCAUUUGUCAUUGUCCACUGUAGAAACACUGUAAGCCAUAUAUGGAAGUGGAGGUAAUGCAGAUGUGUGCUCAAAAACUGCAAUCUGAAGAAAUGAAAAUGAUAAUCAGGAUAUUUUGUUUGCUGCAUUACUGUGGAACGAUGGAAAGAAAGAAGAAACAUUACAAGGAUACGAAAGACU
This is a long non-coding RNA of Solanum stenotomum, 665 nucleotides long. RefSeq lists it as uncharacterized. The transcript has 3 exons. Lineage: Eukaryota; Viridiplantae; Streptophyta; Magnoliopsida; Solanales; Solanaceae. The record is from RefSeq and is a predicted model, not a curated record.